CAGGCACACGGGGAGGCUCGAAAGCUUCCACAACAACACGCUCGUCUACACCCCGAAGCAAGUGUUUUUCUGGCCGGCCAUGUUCACGGCCAGGAAGCACAUGGCCGUCAUCGACUAUGACGCCAACAUGGACCGUCAAAUCCUGAAGGGAGACGACGGCAACGACCGGUGCGUGUCGGUGUACAGCCGGGCCCAGAGCCGGUUUGUCCUCCGCCCGCAACGGCAGGCGAAGACCUUCAGCUACGUGGCAGAGCUGCUCACAGCCAUGCUGGAGCGUCGGAGAGCAGUCGAUGUCGCAACCCCCCGACCGAUGUCAGCGAGUGACCCGCAGAUCAUUCACCCUUACGUUAA
Molecule: long non-coding RNA, 351 nt
Organism: Amphibalanus amphitrite
Lineage: Eukaryota; Metazoa; Arthropoda; Thecostraca; Balanomorpha; Balanidae
Exons: 3
Source: RefSeq, a predicted model, not a curated record